RNAcentral lists this long non-coding RNA (426 nucleotides) under Amphimedon queenslandica. RNAcentral's name for it is "uncharacterized LOC109590960". The record is from RNAcentral. Lineage: Eukaryota; Metazoa; Porifera; Demospongiae; Haplosclerida; Niphatidae.
UAGCUUCCAAGAUAUUAAGAAAUGGAGCUGAGCCACUCAAGAGAUUAUCCAGUCAAACUGAUCACAAGUUUUACAGAGCAUUAUAUGAUUUAAGAAGAAGAUGGAUACUACGUAGAACAGCUAAUGGAGUCAGUGGAGACCUCAGCUAUAGAUCAGCUGGUUCACUGUAUGCUUAGUCAGUUCAGUUUGAGGUUCAUAAAGAAAUUGAAGGUACUAAUGAUAUACUGUCAGUAGUGGUACCUGAAGAAUUAAGAGGAAGGAGUGAAGUAGUUAUAUUCCUAGCAGACAGACCUAUUAAAGAGGUUGUUUCUCUUGAUUCUUUGUUGCCGUCUUGUUUCAUUGAGCUUCAUAAGCAACAGUUGAUGUUAACUCCAUGGGAGCAGAUACUUAAAUCAGCUCAAAAUGUGCUCUUCAAUGAAGUACUGU